UUGAAUUGAAGAGUUUGAUCAUGGCUCAGAUUGAACGCUGGCGGCAGGCUUAACACAUGCAAGUCGAACGGUAGCAGGAAGCGCUUGCGCUUUGCUGACGAGUGGCGGACGGGUGAGUAAUGCUUGGGAAUCUGGCUUAUGGAGGGGGAUAACUACGGGAAACUGUAGCUAAUACCGCGUAAUAUCUUCGGAUUAAAGUAUGGGAUCGCAAGACCAUAUGCCAUAA
This 226-nucleotide ribosomal RNA is filed under the name Lonepinella koalarum. Its description in RNAcentral is "partial 16S ribosomal RNA". It matches the Rfam family "Bacterial small subunit ribosomal RNA", at positions 1 to 223 of the family's 1533-position model. Lineage: Bacteria; Pseudomonadati; Pseudomonadota; Gammaproteobacteria; Pasteurellales; Pasteurellaceae. The record is from RNAcentral.